AAUAUUGGACAAUGGGGGCAACCCUGAUCCAGCCAUGCCGCGUUUUUGAAGAAGUUCUUCGUAUUGUAAAGCACUUUAGGUGGGUAGGAAGGGCUUUAGGUUAAUACCCUGAAGUUUUGACGCUACCAACAUAAUAAGCACCGGCUAACUCUGUCCCAGCAGCCGCGGUAAUACAGAGGGUGCAAGCGUUAAUCGGAAUUACUGGUCGUAAAGCGCGCGUAGGUUGUUCAGUAAGAUGGGUGUGAAAGCCCCGGGCUUAACCUGGGAACUGCUUUCAUAACUGCUGAGCUAGAGUACGGUAGAGGGUAGUGGAAUUUCCUGCGUAGCGGUGAAAUGCGUAGAUAUAGGAAGGAACACCAGUGGCGAAGGCGACUACCUGGACUGAUACUGACACUGAGGUGCGAAAGCGUGGGGAGCAAAC
RNAcentral lists this ribosomal RNA (421 nucleotides) under uncultured bacterium. RNAcentral's name for it is "partial 16S ribosomal RNA". It matches the Rfam family "Bacterial small subunit ribosomal RNA", at positions 360 to 773 of the family's 1533-position model. The record is from RNAcentral.